Pimephales promelas (fathead minnow) is the source of this 1711-nucleotide non-coding RNA. The record is from RefSeq and is a predicted model, not a curated record. NCBI's taxonomy places the organism in Eukaryota, Metazoa, Chordata, Actinopteri, Cypriniformes, Leuciscidae.
AAUAAUAAAUAAAUAUAAUAAAGUCUACUAGGGGGAUGGUUUGGGGUGGGUUCCAGAUUUCUAUAGUUGCUUUGUAUUUUUGUAUUUCUUGACCUUAACAAAGGAAAGAAAACUCUAACAGUUGUUAAAAAAAAAAGAAACGAUAAUUUAAUUGUGGCCAAAACGUAAAGUUUUAGAAUUUGGAAAAUUUUAAUUUAAAUGAGUUCAAAUAAGUAUAUGUGUCUACUUUUUUUCUAUUUCUAGAUCGCUAAAGUGAAUCUGACAUUGAUCAUGUGACUCCUUUGCAUAGAUGGUCAAAGUUUAAGUGUAAGCACAUGAUGCUCUUUGGAAUGAUCAAGCUUUGUUUGUCACUUCAAGUGCAGCUGCAAAAGAAAUUCUAAAAAUAAAAACAAUGAGAUAAAACCACUUUUAUUUAAAAAUAUGUAUUUUGAAAAAUAAAAAAAUGUGCAUUUAACUACUAGUCUCAGACUUUUUGAAACCAUUGAAUAUUGUGUAAUAUUUUGGAAUGGUUGCUCACCAAGUGACCCCCUCUGGUGAUGGUAGCUGUAGCCAGACUUAGGGACAGCUAAGAGCAGGGAUAGGCAAUGUCGAGUUUUGCUCAAACACACCUGAACAAGGUAAUCAGUGUCUUCAGGAUUAUUACGGUUACAGGCUGGCAAGUUUUUUGUGUUUUUCUUUUUUCUUUUUCUGGAUUGGUACUAAGCUAUGCAGGACAGCGGCACUCCAGGGCUGACGUUGCGUAUCCCUGUCUUAGAGCAUCUAGUAAACCAGGAUCAAAUUUAGUGUGUGGUUGACAUUUUGAAAUAUAUAAAUAACAUUUUCUAUCUUUUUUGUUUAUGUUUCCAAAUUAAAUAUGUAUUUCAUAUUUCAGUGCAAUUUUAGAUAUUGUAUAAAAAAUUACAUUUAAAAAAAAAAUCCAUAAAAAUGCACUCUGACCAGAAUGGGUUUUCUUAAUGCACUGCAUCAUGUGCCCAGGCUAAAGGUUUAACGGAUAGCCCCAGUGUUGUGCUUCAAAGCCUGUUGCUGUCCCUCAGAGAGCUGAUCGAGGGGCCAUACCCUUCAAGUUGUCUUGUUUACAUUGCAUUGUUUCCUUUACUUUAGCCCUGAGGACAAAGAUAACCUGUUAAAUUCCUUUGAGUGCCUCUGUUAUAGAAGAGAUCUGAUAGUAUGUAGGACAUGUCUCAUCUGUAGACAUCCAUCACUUGCAUGAACUCUAUGGCUCCUCUCACAUAUAGUAAUGUAUGUGCUAAGCUUUAUGAAGCUCUUAAAAUAGCACUUGCCAUACUUUCUCCAUCCAGUGUUAAUGAACCUCCUCCUUCCUGACUCCUCCUCUAUUUAACAAUUUCUGUUGGAGCCACUGCUUCAUCUUGAGAAACAACAGGCACUUGUCACAUCUCUCCUACCCUUCGAGUAGUUUUGUAAUAGACUGUCCCUUGUCUGAAAUGUGUUUUCUAGCUUUAUUUCUAUUUACAACCAUUAGAAAAGCAGAUCUCUUGUAGGAUUUGACCUUCAGCUGGAGUUUGUCCACCAGAUCCUGAAGACGUGCCAGAUUCUUACGGUCCUCCUCAGUCUGCGUAUAAAGUCAGGGUUGGGGAGUAACGGAAUACAUGUAACGUCGUUACGUAAUCAGGAUCCUGUUGGGGAAUCCCUUCCUGCAGAUCCUGAUGCCCUCCAGCACACCGUUACAGCGCAGCUGGUGCAUGACCAGAGG